UACAGAGGUCCCAAGCGUUGUUCGGAUUCACUGGGCGUAAAGGGUGCGUAGGUGGCGGGGUAAGUCUGAUGUGAAAUCUCCGAGCUUAACUCGGAAACUGCAUCGGAUACUGCUUUGCUCGAGGGUUGGAGGGGGGACUGGAAUACUUGGUGUAGCAGUGAAAUGCGUAGAUAUCAAGUGGAACACCAGUGGCGAAGGCGAGUCCCUGGACAACUCCUGACACUGAGGCACGAAAGCUAGGGGAGCAAACAGG
RNAcentral lists this ribosomal RNA (253 nucleotides) under uncultured bacterium. Its description in RNAcentral is "partial 16S ribosomal RNA". It matches the Rfam family "Bacterial small subunit ribosomal RNA", at positions 524 to 776 of the family's 1533-position model. The record is from RNAcentral.